GAUGAACGCUAGCUACAGGCUUAACACAUGCAAGUCGAGGGACCGGCGCACGGGUGACUAACACGUAUCCAACCUGCCCUUUACUCGGGGAUAGCCUGUCGAAAGACAGAUUAAUACCCGACAUAAUGAUUGGGGAUGCGUUCCAUUAGGUUGUCGGUGAGGUAACGGCUCACCAAGCCUUCGAUGGAUAGUGGUUCUGAGAGGAAGGUCCACCAGAAUGGAGAUUAGACCCGGUCCAAACUCCUACGGGAGGAUACGGUGAUGAAUAUUGGUCGAUAGGCGCUAGCCUGAACCAGCCAAGUAGCGUGAAAGAUGAAGGCUUAUGGGUCGUAUACUACUUUUAUAUAAGAAUAUGUAUUAUAUGAAUAAGGAUCGGCUAACUCCGUGCCAGCCGCCGCGGUAAUAC
RNAcentral lists this ribosomal RNA (406 nucleotides) under uncultured bacterium. Its description in RNAcentral is "partial 16S ribosomal RNA". It matches the Rfam family "Bacterial small subunit ribosomal RNA", at positions 28 to 526 of the family's 1533-position model. The record is from RNAcentral.